UACGGAGGGGGCUAGCGUUGUUCGGAAUUACUGGGCGUAAAGCGCACGUAGGCGGCUAUUUAAGUCAGAGGUGAAAGCCCGGAGCUCAACUCCGGAACUGCCUUUGAGACUGGAUAGCUAGAAUCUUGGAGAGGCGAGUGGAAUUCCGAGUGUAGAGGUGAAAUUCGUAGAUAUUCGGAAGAACACCAGUGGCGAAGGCGGCUCGCUGGACAAGUAUUGACGCUGAGGUGCGAAAGCGUGGGGAGCAAAC
Molecule: ribosomal RNA, 250 nt
Filed under: uncultured bacterium
Lineage: Bacteria
Description: partial 16S ribosomal RNA
Rfam family: Bacterial small subunit ribosomal RNA
Source: RNAcentral